GCUCCAAGAGCGUAUAUUAAAGUUGUUGCGGUUAAAAAGCUCGUAGUUGGAUUUCGAUUUGUUGUGUUGUAGCUCUAGACUAAGUCUAGUGGUUGCAGCACUCGGGUCUACUUUCUGAACGGUUUACCGUCCAGAUAUUUUACUUUGAAAAAAUUAGAGUGUUUCACGCAGGCAUAUUGCCUGAAUAUCACAGCAUGGAA
RNAcentral lists this ribosomal RNA (200 nucleotides) under uncultured eukaryote. RNAcentral describes it as "partial 18S ribosomal RNA". It matches the Rfam family "Eukaryotic small subunit ribosomal RNA", at positions 588 to 814 of the family's 1831-position model. The record is from RNAcentral.